AUUGAACGCUGGCGGAAUGCUUUACACAUGCAAGUCGAACGGCAGCACGGGGGCAACCCUGGUGGCGAGUGGCGAACGGGUGAGUAAUACAUCGGAACGUGCCCGGUCGUGGGGGAUAGCGUAGCGAAAGUUACGCUAAUACCGCAUACGAUCUGAGGAUGAAAGCGGGGGACCUUCGGGCCUCGCGCGAUCGGAGCGGCCGAUGUCAGAUUAGGUAGUUGGUGGGGUAAAGGCCUACCAAGCCGACGAUCUGUAGCUGGUCUGAGAGGACGACCAGCCACACUGGGACUGAGACACGGCCCAGACUCCUACGGGAGGCAGCAGUGGGGAAUUUUGGACAAUGGGCGCAAGCCUGAUCCAGCCAUUCCGCGUGCAGGACGAAGGCCUUCGGGUUGUAAACUGCUUUUGUAUGGAACGAAAAGGCUCUGGCUAAUACCUGGGGCUCAUGACGGUACCGUAAGAAUAAGCACCGGCUAACUACGUG
This 484-nucleotide ribosomal RNA is filed under the name uncultured bacterium. Its description in RNAcentral is "partial 16S ribosomal RNA". It matches the Rfam family "Bacterial small subunit ribosomal RNA", at positions 30 to 507 of the family's 1533-position model. The record is from RNAcentral.